GCCGGUGUGGCUCAGUGGAUAGAGCGUCAGCCUACGGACUGAAGGGUCCUGGUUCGAUUCCAGUCAAGGGCA
Molecule: transfer RNA, 72 nt
Filed under: Myotis brandtii (Brandt's bat)
Lineage: Eukaryota; Metazoa; Chordata; Mammalia; Chiroptera; Vespertilionidae
Rfam family: tRNA
About the family: Transfer RNA (tRNA) molecules are approximately 80 nucleotides in length. Their secondary structure includes four short double-helical elements and three loops (D, anti-codon, and T loops).
Source: Rfam by way of RNAcentral